This 410-nucleotide ribosomal RNA is filed under the name uncultured bacterium. RNAcentral describes it as "bacterial SSU rRNA". It matches the Rfam family "Bacterial small subunit ribosomal RNA", at positions 64 to 507 of the family's 1533-position model. The record is from RNAcentral.
GAACGAGAAAGUGGAGCAAUCCAUGAGUACAGUGGCGACCGGGUGAGUAACACGUGACUACCUGCCCUCGAGUGGGGAAUAACUCCGGGAAACCGGGGCUAAUACCGCAUAACAUCGAGAGAUCAAAGCAGCAAUGCGCUUGAGGAGGGGGUCGCGGCUGAUUAGCUAGUUGGUAGGGUAAUGGCCUACCAAGGCGAAGAUCGGUAUCCGGCCUGAGAGGGCGCACGGACACACUGGAACUGAAACACGGUCCAGACUCCUACGGGAGGCAGCAGUGGGGAAUUUUGCGCAAUGGGGGAAACCCUGACGCAGCAACGCCGCGUGGAGGAUGAAGUCCUUUGGGACGUAAACUCCUUUCGACCGGGACGAUUAUGACGGUACCGGUGGAAGAAGCCCCGGCUAACUUCGUG